GAUGAACGCUGGCGGCGUGCCUAAUACAUGCAAGUCGAGCGAACAGACGAGGAGCUUGCUCCUCUGACGUUAGCGGCGGACGGGUGAGUAACACGUGGAUAACCUACCUAUAAGACUGGGAUAACUUCGGGAAACCGGAGCUAAUACCGGAUAAUAUAUUGAACCGCAUGGUUCAAUAGUGAAAGACGGUUUUGCUGUCACUUAUAGAUGGAUCCGCGCCGCAUUAGCUAGUUGGUAAGGUAACGGCUUACCAAGGCAACGAUGCGUAGCCGACCUGAGAGGGAGAGGGGAAACAAGGGAAAGAAGACACGGACGAAACACAGGGGGGAGGAGAGAGGGGGGAGUCUCCAAAAAGGGGAAAAGGCGGGAAGGAGCACAGCGGGGGGAGGGAGGAGGGUAUGAGAAUAAAAAAACUCUUUAAUAAGGGAAAAAAAAAUGGGAAAAAAACAAGACACGUCUGAAGGAACCAAAACAAGAAAACCAGGCAAAAAACGGGC
This 497-nucleotide ribosomal RNA is filed under the name uncultured bacterium. RNAcentral describes it as "partial 16S ribosomal RNA". The stretch from base 20 to 337 matches the Rfam family "Bacterial small subunit ribosomal RNA", at positions 47 to 358 of the family's 1533-position model. The record is from RNAcentral.